CCUACGGGAGGCAGCAGUGGGGAAUAUUGCACAAUGGGCGCAAGCCUGAUGCAGCGACGCCGCGUGCGGGAUGGAGGCCUUCGGGUUGUAAACCGCUUUUGUUCAAGGGCAAGGCAGGCUUUCGGGCCUGUUGAGUGGAUUGUUCGAAUAAGCACCGGCUAACUACGUGCCAGCAGCCGCGGUAAU
RNAcentral lists this ribosomal RNA (186 nucleotides) under uncultured bacterium. Its description in RNAcentral is "partial 16S ribosomal RNA". It matches the Rfam family "Bacterial small subunit ribosomal RNA", at positions 338 to 524 of the family's 1533-position model. The record is from RNAcentral.